UGUUGGGUAGGGGAGCGUUCUGUAAGCCUGUGAAGGUGUGCUGUGAGGCAUGCUGGAGGUAUCAGAAGUGCGAAUGCUGACAUAAGUAACGAUAAAGCGGGUGAAAAGCCCGCUCGCCGGAAGACCAAGGGUUCCUGUCCAACGUUAAUCGGGGCAGGGUGAGUCGACCCCUAAGGCGAGGCCGAAAGGCGUAGUCGAUGGGAAACAGGUUAAUAUUCCUGUACUUGGUGUUACUGCGAAGGGGGGACGGAGAAGGCUAUGUUGGCCGGGCGACGGUUGUCCCGGUUUAAGCGUGUAGGCUGGUUUUCCAGGCAAAUCCGGAAAAUCAAGGCUGAGGCGUGAUGACGAGGCACUACGGUGCUGAAGCAACAAAUGCCCUGCUUCCAGGAAAAGCCUCUAAGCAUCAGGUAACAUCAAAUCGUACCCCAAACCGACACAGGUGGUCAGGUAGAGAAUACCAAGGCGCUUGAGAGAACUCGGGUGAAGGAACUAGGCAAAAUGGUGCCGUAACUUCGGGAGAAGG
This 523-nucleotide ribosomal RNA is filed under the name Escherichia coli. RNAcentral describes it as "partial 23S ribosomal RNA". It matches the Rfam family "Bacterial large subunit ribosomal RNA", at positions 1222 to 1746 of the family's 2925-position model. Lineage: Bacteria; Pseudomonadati; Pseudomonadota; Gammaproteobacteria; Enterobacterales; Enterobacteriaceae. The record is from RNAcentral.